UACGGAGGAUGCGAGCGUUAUCCGGAUUUAUUGGGUUUAAAGGGUGCGUAGGCGGGCUUUUAAGUCAGCGGUAAAAAUUCGGGGCUCAACCCCGUCCGGCCGUUGAAACUGGGGGUCUUGAGUGGGCGAGAAGAAGGCGGAAUGCGUGGUGUAGCGGUGAAAUGCAUAGAUAUCACGCAGAACCCCGAUUGCGAAGGCAGCCUUCUGGCGCCCUACUGACGCUGAGGCACGAAAGUGCGGGGAUCGAACAGG
Molecule: ribosomal RNA, 252 nt
Filed under: uncultured bacterium
Lineage: Bacteria
Description: partial 16S ribosomal RNA
Rfam family: Bacterial small subunit ribosomal RNA
Source: RNAcentral